UUGCUCCACCGGAAAAAGAGGAGUGGCGAACGGGUGAGUAACACGUGGGUAACCUGCCCAUCAGAAGGGGAUAACACUUGGAAACAGGUGCUAAUACCGUAUAACAAUCGAAACCGCAUGGUUUUGAUUUGAAAGGCGCUUUCGGGUGUCGCUGAUGGAUGGACCCGCGGUGCAUUAGCUAGUUGGUGAGGUAACGGCUCACCAAGGCGACGAUGCAUAGCCGACCUGAGAGGGUGAUCGGCCACAUUGGGACUGAGACACGGCCCAAACUCCUACGGGAGGCAGCAGUAGGGAAUCUUCGGCAAUGGACGAAAGUCUGACCGAGCAACGCCGCGUGAGUGAAGAAGGUUUUCGGAUCGUAAAACUCUGUUGUUAGAGAAGAACAAGGAUGAGAGUAACUGUUCAUCCCUUGACGGUAUCUAACCAGAAAGCCACGGCUAACUACGUGCCAGCAGCCGCGGUAAUACGUAGGUGGCAAGCGUUGUCCGGAUUUAUUGGGCGUAAAGCGAGCGCAGGCGGU
RNAcentral lists this ribosomal RNA (520 nucleotides) under Enterococcus faecalis. Its description in RNAcentral is "bacterial SSU rRNA". It matches the Rfam family "Bacterial small subunit ribosomal RNA", at positions 72 to 579 of the family's 1533-position model. RNAcentral also lists the same sequence under 1 other name. Lineage: Bacteria; Bacillati; Bacillota; Bacilli; Lactobacillales; Enterococcaceae. The record is from RNAcentral.